CAGAAGAUGGCACCCAAGGUUAUGCUGAAGGCCAAAGGAAAGAACGCGAAGAAGUCCGCCGCCGUCGCCGAUGAGGACGGUGGAGCUGUGACGGCAGUGUACACUUUUGUCAAGGACUGGACCACAUGGACGGCGAAGAAGGCUAAAGUAAUCACACACUACGGCUUUAUUCCCCUUGUCAUCAUCCUCGGCAUGAACUCUGAACCCAAACCCUCGCUCUCCCAGCUUCUCAGCCCGGUCUGAAAAACCCGAUGUAUGAAAUUACGGCUUCAACCUUUUCCUUCGUUACCAAAUCGAUAUUUUUUCUUUUUAUGCUGUAGUUUGGGUUAUAUAUUUGUCGAUUUGACGCUUAUUAGCAGUUGAUUUUAGAAUUUUUUGCUUUUGAUUUUCAUAUGUAGGAGUUACAAUGUGUCGAUCAACUUUCUAAUGUUAUGUGAGCUGUUCUCUUUCAUAUGAUCUGUUAUGUAUCAG
RNAcentral lists this unclassified non-coding RNA (471 nucleotides) under Hevea brasiliensis (rubber tree). The record is from RNAcentral. Lineage: Eukaryota; Viridiplantae; Streptophyta; Magnoliopsida; Malpighiales; Euphorbiaceae.